AUUUUCACAAAGUCAAAAUGUAAGCCAAGAUUUUUCUCUCUCUUUUUUUUUUUUUUGGCUGAGCACAGGGUACUUUAUUGAUGGUAUAUGACAAGGUGGGGCUCCCUAGGCCCCUCCCCUCUUCAAGGGGUCUACAUGGAAACUGUGAGGAGGGGAGAUUCAGUGUGGUGGGGGACUGAGUGUGGCAGGGACUCCCCAGCAGUGAGGGUCUCUCUCUUCCUCUUGUGCUCUUACUGGGGCU
This 241-nucleotide long non-coding RNA is filed under the name Homo sapiens (human). RNAcentral describes it as "non-protein coding lnc-ATP6AP2-13:1". Lineage: Eukaryota; Metazoa; Chordata; Mammalia; Primates; Hominidae. The record is from RNAcentral.